GGGAAUCUACCGUGCCCUGCGGAAUAGCUCCGGGAAACUGGAAUUAAUACCGCAUACGCCCUACGGGGGAAAGAUUUAUCGGGGUAUGAUGAGCCCGCGUUGGAUUAGCUAGUUGGUGGGGUAAAGGCCUACCAAGGCGACGAUCCAUAGCUGGUCUGAGAGGAUGAUCAGCCACAUUGGGACUGAGACACGGCCCAAACUCCUACGGGAGGCAGCAGUGGGGAAUAUUGGACAAUGGGCGCAAGCCUGAUCCAGCCAUGCCGCGUGAGUGAUGAAGGCCUUAGGGUUGUAAAGCUCUUUCACCGGAGAAGAUAAUGACGGUAUCCGGAGAAGAAGCCCCGGCUAACUUCGUGCCAGCAGCCGCGGUAAUACGAAGGGGGCUAGCGUUGUUCGGAAUUACUGGGCGUAAAGCGCACGUAGGCGGAUAUUUAAGUCAGGGGUGAAAUCCCAGAGCUCAACUCUGGAACUGCCUUUGAUACUGGGUAUCUUGAGUAUGGAAGAGGUAAGUGGAAUUGCGAGC
This 520-nucleotide ribosomal RNA is filed under the name uncultured bacterium. RNAcentral describes it as "bacterial SSU rRNA". It matches the Rfam family "Bacterial small subunit ribosomal RNA", at positions 120 to 674 of the family's 1533-position model. The record is from RNAcentral.